This is a long non-coding RNA of Cynoglossus semilaevis (tongue sole), 1263 nucleotides long. RefSeq lists it as uncharacterized. NCBI's taxonomy places the organism in Eukaryota, Metazoa, Chordata, Actinopteri, Pleuronectiformes, Cynoglossidae. The transcript is spliced from 3 exons. The record is from RefSeq and is a predicted model, not a curated record.
UUAUUAACUCAUUGAAAUUGCAAUUUAAAUCUAAAUGGUGUGUUUGCAGAAUAUACGCUGCCAAUAAACCUGUGGACAUUAAAGAAAUCUGCAUAAAUUUAAGCUAGUAUGGAGAUCACAGCAGCAUAAACCAAAUAUAAUUAAAAGUAUUACACCAAACACCCUGUUGCAUGUGUUAAACACAGCCAAUGCUCUCAUAAAUGAGCUGUGUGUUUCCACUGAGAGCCCUGAGCACCGUCUUUGUUUACUGUAGUCAUGGUGAAGUACAACCCUGGAGAAUUAAUGGAGCACCCACACAGGCAGACAGACAGUAAUCCUAUAGCACUGAGUGUCAGUCAGUGGACACACACAGAGAAACUGCUCACCUACAUAUUAUAACUGGUCACUGCUGACAACACUGAGUGGGUUUUCUAAACACCCAGAACAGCUGAACUGGACCUAAGGACCGUCUGUGGAUGAAAUAGAGUGGAACCAUGUUGUGACUGUUAUUUUGUCCCCUGUGGAAAGCAAUUAAAUGGAUAGCAUCUUGUUGCGGCUCCUCAGGGACAAGCAGUGUGUCAACAGGAUGUGGCAACAAGGGGCCAAACGUGUGCACCGUUUUCAGGCCACAGUUUGGACCGUGUCAGCCCACAGUAUGGACCUGUGAAGGGACGACUUCCAUUCCAAACAAAUCCUAACUCGUCACAGCUCAAGUGUGGACUAAAAAGAUGGCGUCCAUCGAUUCUUCACUGAACCACAUCUGCAGUUGUUCCAAUGAAGACUCAUCUGGAAACCUCUCUUUGGGAGGACAGAUAACGUCUGAUGUAGCUAACAACUGCCGAGUGUCUCACAAUAUAACAUGCCGAGUGUAAACUUUAACUUAAAGGAGAAAAAGUAAAAAACAAAAAACAAACAAAAAAAACCUUUUAAGUUGUUUCUGAAACCUUUUUGUGUCCAUGUCAUGAUCACAUUUUUUUUGAAAAGCACAUGUAAUCUUUUUGUGUGGAUCUGGCGCCAUCGUGUGGAAGGAGAGCAUAGCCGUCGAAAACUAAUUUUCAAAAAUAGUGCAAUUUGGGGGAUUGGGAAAAUACACCUGGAAUAUAAAUCUAAAUUACGAUAGUAAAAUGGCCAACUCUGGUUUUCUCUGUUGCAGCGAGAGCUAACAUGGCUUUUACCAGGUUUGUCACGUUUUUUUCAGCUAAUAUGAUAUCCAAUAUUAGACAGGUGUUACUAGGUUACUUAUUAGAUAGAAGUUGCGGUAGUGUAAUUAAAAUAUAGAAAAUA